This 1683-nucleotide ribosomal RNA is filed under the name human gut metagenome. RNAcentral's name for it is "bacterial LSU rRNA". It matches the Rfam family "Bacterial large subunit ribosomal RNA", at positions 828 to 2524 of the family's 2925-position model. The record is from RNAcentral.
UCCAAUCGAACUCGGAGAUAGCUGGUUCUCCCCGAAAUAGCUUUAGGGCUAGCGUCGGAUAUGUGUAGUGGAGGUAGAGCACUGAAUGGGCUAGGGGGCAUAUCGCUUACCGAACCUUAUCAAACUCCGAAUGCCAUAUACAUUUAGUCCGGCAGUCAGACUACGAAUGAUAAGAUCCGUGGUCAAAAGGGAAACAGCCCAGAUCGUCAGCUAAGGUCCCAAAGUGUAAGUUAAGUGGAAAAGGAUGUGGGAUUUCUAAGACAACUAGGAUGUUGGCUUAGAAGCAGCCACUCAUUUAAAGAGUGCGUAAUAGCUCACUAGUCGAGAGAUCCUGCGCCGAAAAUGUCCGGGGCUAAAACUUACCACCGAAGCUACGGGCUUGCGUAAGCAAGCGGUAGGGGAGCGUCGUAAUCGGGCUGAAGUCGUACCGUAAGGAGCGGUGGACUGAUUACGAGUGAGAAUGUUGGCAUUAGUAGCGAGAUGUAGGUGAGAAUCCUACAGGCCGAAUAUCUAAGGUUUCCUCAGGAAGGCUCGUCCGCUGAGGGUUAGUCGGGACCUAAGCCGAGGCCGAAAGGCGUAGGCGAUGGACAACAGGUUGAUAUUCCUGUACCACUACCAUCGUUAUUAUCGAGGGUGUGACGGAGAAGGAUAGUGUGUGCUAGCGAUUGGAAAUGCUAGUCUAAGCGUUUAGGCAGUUACGGUAGGCAAAUCCGCUGUAACGUUAAUGCUGAGGCGUGAUGGGGAAGGCCCUUGAGGCUGAAGUACAUGAUUCCAUGCUUCCAAGAAAAGCAUCUAGAGAGAGAAGUAGUGCCCGUACCGCAAACCGACACAGGUAGAUGAGGAGAGAAUCCUAAGGCCGGCGGAAGAAUUGCAGUUAAGGAACUAGGCAAAUUGACCCCGUAAGUUAGCGAGAAGGGGUGCCUGCGAGAGCAGGCCGCAGAGAAUAGGCCCAAGCAACUGUUUAGCAAAAACACAGGUCUCUGCUAAAGCGCAAGCUGAUGUAUAGGGGCUGACGCCUGCCCGGUGCUGGAAGGUUAAGGGGAACACUUAGCGCAAGCGAAGGUGUGAACUUAAGCCCCAGUAAACGGCGGCCGUAACUAUAACGGUCCUAAGGUAGCGAAAUUCCUUGUCAGGUAAGUUCUGACCCGCACGAAUGGCGUAAUGACUUGGGCACUGUCUCAACUGCAAAUCCGGCGAAGUUGUAGUGCGAGUGAAGAUGCUCGCUACCCGCGAUUGGACGGAAAGACCCCGUAGAGCUUUACUGUAGCUUAGCAUUGAAUUCCGGUAUUGUCUGUACAGGAUAGGUGGGAGACUGGGAAACUAGGGCGUCAGCCUUAGUGGAGUCGUCCUUGGGAUACCACCCUGACAGUACUGGGGUUCUAACAGGACGCCAUGAAUCUGGUGACUGGACAUUGUUAGGUGGGCAGUUUGACUGGGGCGGUCGCCUCCUAAAAAGUAACGGAGGCGCCCAAAGGUUCCCUCAGAACGGUCGGAAAUCGUUCGUAGAGUGCAAAGGCAGAAGGGAGCCUGACUGCGAGACCUACAAGUCGAGCAGGGACGAAAGUCGGGCUUAGUGAUCCGGUGGUACCUCGUGGGAGGGCCAUCGCUCAACGGAUAAAAGCUACCUCGGGGAUAACAGGCUGAUCUCCCCCAAGAGUCCACAUCGACGGGGAGGUUUGGCAC